RNAcentral lists this ribosomal RNA (492 nucleotides) under uncultured bacterium. Its description in RNAcentral is "partial 16S ribosomal RNA". It matches the Rfam family "Bacterial small subunit ribosomal RNA", at positions 29 to 507 of the family's 1533-position model. The record is from RNAcentral.
AGUGAACGCUGGCGGUAGGCCUAACACAUGCAAGUCGAACGGCAGCACAGUAAGAGCUUGCUCUUACGGGUGGCGAGUGGCGGACGGGUGAGGAAUACAUCGGAAUCUACUUUUUCGUGGGGGAUAACGUAGGGAAACUUACGCUAAUACCGCAUACGACCUACGGGUGAAAGCAGGGGAUCUUCGGACCUUGCGCGAUUGAAUGAGCCGAUGUCGGAUUAGCUAGUUGGCGGGGUAAAGGCCCACCAAGGCGACGAUCCGUAGCUGGACUGAGAGGAUGAUCAGCCACACUGGAACUGAGACACGGUCCAGACUCCUACGGGAGGCAGCAGUGGGGAAUAUUGGACAAUGGGCGCAAGCCUGAUCCAGCCAUACCGCGUGGGUGAAGAAGGCCUUCGGGUUGUAAAGCCCUUUUGUUGGGAAAGAAAGGCAGCAGGUUAAUACCCCGCUGUUCUGACGGUACCCAAAGAAUAAGCACCGGCUAACUUCGUG